This 468-nucleotide ribosomal RNA is filed under the name uncultured bacterium. RNAcentral's name for it is "partial 16S ribosomal RNA". It matches the Rfam family "Bacterial small subunit ribosomal RNA", at positions 28 to 507 of the family's 1533-position model. The record is from RNAcentral.
GACGAACGCUGGCGGCGUGCUUAACACAUGCAAGUCGAGCGGAAAGGCCCUGCUUUUGUGGGGUGCUCGAGUGGCGAACGGGUGAGUAACACGUGAGUAACCUGCCCUUGACUUUGGGAUAACUUCAGGAAACUGGGGCUAAUACCGGAUAGGAGCUCCUGCUGCAUGGUGGGGGUUGGAAAGUUUCGGCGGUUGGGGAUGGACUCGCGGCUUAUCAGCUUGUUGGUGGGGUAGUGGCUUACCAAGGCUUUGACGGGUAGCCGGCCUGAGAGGGUGACCGGCCACAUUGGGACUGAGAUACGGCCCAGACUCCUACGGGAAGCAGCAGUGGGGAAUAUUGCACAAUGGGCGGAAGCCUGAUGCAGCAACGCCGCGUGCGGGAUGACGGCCUUCGGGUUGUAAACCGCUUUCGCCUGUGACGAAGCGUGAGUGACGGUAAUGGGUAAAGAAGCACCGGCUAACUACGUG